AGUAACUGCGAGUGAAGCGGGAAAAGCUCAAAUUUAAAAUCUGGUGGUCUUUGGCCAUCCGAGUUGUAAUUUAGAGAAGCGUCCAUCCGCGCCGGACCGUGCACAAGUCUCCUGGAAUGGAGCAUCAUAGAGGGUGAGAAUCCCGUCUUUGGCAUGGACCCCCGGGGCUUUGUGAUGCGCUCUCAAAGAGUCGAGUUGUUUGGGAAUGCAGCUCAAAAUGGGUGGUGAACUCCAUCUAAAGCUAAAUACAGGCGAGAGACCGAUAGCGAACAAGUACCGUGAGGGAAAGAUGAAAAGCACUUUGGAAAGAGAGUGAAACAGUACGUGAAAUUGUUGAAAGGGAAACGCUUGAAGUCAGUCGCGUCGGCCGAGAUUCAGCCUUGCUCAGGCUUGGUGUACUUCUCGGUCGACGGGUCAGCGUCGAUUUUGCCCCUCGGAUAAUGGCAGAGGGAAGGUGGCACCCUUCCCGGGUGUGUUAUAGCCCUCUGUCGGAUGCGAGGGUCAGGAUCGAGGAACUCAGCACGCGCCUCUUGGCGGUCGGGGCUUCGGCUCACGCUUACGUGCUUAGGAUGUUGGCGUAAUGGCUUUAAACGACCCGUCUUGAAACACGGACCAAGGAGUCUAACAUGCACGCGAGUGUUCGGGUGGAAAACCCGUGCGCGUAAUGAAAGUGAAAGUCGGGACCCCUGUCGUGGGGGGCACCGAUGCCCGGACCAGACCUUCUGUGACGGAUCUGCGGUAGAGCGUGCAUGUUGGGACCCGAAAGAUGGUGAACUAUGCCUGAGUAGGGUGAAGCCAGAGGAAACUCUGGUGGAGGCUCGUAGCGAUUCUGACGUGCAAAUCGAUCGUCAAAUUUGGGUAUAGGGGCGAAAGAGUAAUCGAACCAU
Molecule: ribosomal RNA, 887 nt
Filed under: Russula earlei
Lineage: Eukaryota; Fungi; Basidiomycota; Agaricomycetes; Russulales; Russulaceae
Description: eukaryotic LSU rRNA
Rfam family: Eukaryotic large subunit ribosomal RNA
Source: RNAcentral